GGAAGUAUCUUAACAGGGAGCUAUGCAAACCAAGUGAUAGCUGCCCUUUGCACCUGAACAUUAUCAAUACAGUGAGAGGUUGUAAAUUAAUUCGAGGUGUCUAAGGUAUCGAACACCAGAAGUGUGCACUUGAGAAGUUUCCCGACCCCAUGAUUGCACAUGGAGUGCUUGAAUUGUCAGUCCAGGUUUCGCCGCAUAGCACAAUUAUAAGCACAGUUCUAUAUAUUUCCAUCUUCGUGUUUUGCAUUUUUCGUGUAUUUCAAUACUCUCUUCUUCGCUCUUUUCUCUCAUCGUGUCAUGUCCUUAAUCAUGAAUAUCUUAUGACGAUCCAGUGGUUCAUUGAAACAGAAUGCUUGAACCUCGAUUUCACCGAGCAUGAACCGUGCUCAGAGUUGCAACAAAGUAACAAAGUGGCAGCCUCGCUGCGUCUGGUGUGCUGCGUGCUAUUACUGGUAUGUUCUUUUGUCUUUGACUUUGAGGCCCUGCUUGCACUCUCAGCAAGUACCGAGUGCAUCCUGGAGUACAAGUAAGCCUGAGCUUGAAACCUACCCGUGACCCGGACCCCGGUACUAGCAACAGUCCAUAGUCCCCCAGAGUGCGCAACUAAUUUACUUCACUGAUCAGAUCUGGGACGGCGAAAUCCGUGUUGCACGUCAUAGUGUGACAUCAUGAGCAGGGGAGGUGUGUCCGCGUGGUGAACCGCGUCGAAGAUGCAAGUCCGACC
Long non-coding RNA from Sycon ciliatum, 724 nucleotides. RefSeq lists it as uncharacterized. Lineage: Eukaryota; Metazoa; Porifera; Calcarea; Leucosolenida; Sycettidae. The record is from RefSeq and is a predicted model, not a curated record. The transcript is spliced from 3 exons.